UAAUCCCAAUCCCGAUCCCAAAUUUUCUCUCUGAUCGCAACUGGCUUCUUCCUCUUUAUGUUUUCCUUAUAUCUCAAAACAAAUCUAGAUCCCAAACUCCAUUGCGUUUUUGAGAUAUAUCGCUUUCUCUUCACUUCUCGCUUUGGUUCUCAUUCAUGAUUCUCGUUGUUUCUAUCUCCAAAAGGUUAAUCGUUAACAUUUUUUCUUUUUUACUCAUCCUUUUCAAUUUUGAUCUGUAUUUUGAUUUGAGAAAUGAUAUUUGUGUUGGAUUUGAUCGUUGCUAGGUUUUUAGGUGCAAGUCUAUGGAAUUGAGUUUUUAUUUUAGUGGAUCGCUUCGAUGAAUUGAAGAAUUUCAUAUACCUAGCAAGAUUAAACCUCCUUUCAGAUUAGGAUUAAGAAGUUC
Molecule: long non-coding RNA, 403 nt
Filed under: Lupinus angustifolius (narrow-leaved blue lupine)
Lineage: Eukaryota; Viridiplantae; Streptophyta; Magnoliopsida; Fabales; Fabaceae
Description: long non-coding RNA (LANG_LNC000227)
Source: RNAcentral